GACGAACGCUGGCGGCGUGCUUAACACAUGCAAGUCGAACGGAAAGGCCCUGCUUGCAGGGUACUCGAGUGGCGAACGGGUGAGUAACACGUGGGUGAUCUGCCCUUCACUUCGGGAUAAGCCUGGGAAACUGGGUCUAAUACCGGAUAGGAGCCAUUUUUAGUGUGAUGGUUGGAAAGUUUUUUCGGUGUAGGAUGAGCUCGCGGCCUAUCAGCUUGUUGGUGGGGUAAUGGCCUACCAAGGCGGCGACGGGUAGCCGGCCUGUGAGGGUGGACGGCCACACUGGGACUGAGAGACGGCCCCGGCUCCUAAGGGAGGCAGCAGGGGGGAAUAUUGCACAAUGGGCGCAAGCCUGAUGCAGAGACGCCGCGUGGGGGAUGACGGCCUUCGGGUUGUAAACUCCUUUCGCUAGGGACGAAGCUUUUUGUGACGGUACCUAGAUAAGAAGCACCGGCUAACUACGUG
RNAcentral lists this ribosomal RNA (465 nucleotides) under uncultured bacterium. RNAcentral's name for it is "partial 16S ribosomal RNA". It matches the Rfam family "Bacterial small subunit ribosomal RNA", at positions 28 to 507 of the family's 1533-position model. The record is from RNAcentral.